GCCUGGGUGGCUCAGUAGGUUGAGCGUCCGAAUUCAGCUCAGGUCAUAGUCUCGUGGUUUGGGGGUUCGAGCCCCCCGUCGGGCU
This 85-nucleotide transfer RNA is filed under the name Felis catus (domestic cat). It matches the Rfam family "tRNA". From Rfam's summary of the family: Transfer RNA (tRNA) molecules are approximately 80 nucleotides in length. Their secondary structure includes four short double-helical elements and three loops (D, anti-codon, and T loops). Lineage: Eukaryota; Metazoa; Chordata; Mammalia; Carnivora; Felidae. The record is from Rfam by way of RNAcentral.